UGCGUAGGUGGUGAGGUAAGUUUGGUGUGAAAGCUCCGGGCUCAACCUGGAAAGGUCAUCGAAUACUAUCUUACUAGAGGAUCGGAGGGGAGACUGGAAUUCUCGGUGUAGCAGUGAAAUGCGUAGAUAUCGAGAGGAACACCAGUGGCGAAGGCGAGUCUCUGGACGAUUCCUGACACUGAGGCACGAAAGCUAGGGGAGCAAACA
RNAcentral lists this ribosomal RNA (207 nucleotides) under uncultured bacterium. RNAcentral's name for it is "partial 16S ribosomal RNA". It matches the Rfam family "Bacterial small subunit ribosomal RNA", at positions 568 to 774 of the family's 1533-position model. The record is from RNAcentral.